RNAcentral lists this ribosomal RNA (793 nucleotides) under uncultured archaeon. RNAcentral's name for it is "bacterial SSU rRNA". It matches the Rfam family "Archaeal small subunit ribosomal RNA", at positions 1 to 775 of the family's 1478-position model. The record is from RNAcentral.
UUCCGGUUGAUCCCGCCGGACCCCACUGCUAUCGAGAUGGGACUAAGGUGUGCUAGUCGAACGACCAGAACUAUGUCUGGAAGUGGCACACUGCUCAGUAACACGUAGCUAACCUACCCUUAGGACGUGGAUACCCCCGAGAAAUUGGGGUUAAUCCGCGAUAGGUGUAAUGUCCUGGAAUGGUAUUACGCCUAAAGGUGUAUCAUACAUGUUUGAUAUACGCCUAAGGAUGGGGCUGCGGCCGAUCAGGCUGUUGGUGAGGUAAUGGCUCACCAAACCUUUGACCGGUACGGGCCAUGAGAGUGGUAGCCCGGAGAUGGACACUGAGACAAGGGUCCAGGCCCUAAGGGGCGCAGCAACCGCGAAACCUCCACAAUGCACUCACGUGCGAUGGGGCUAUCUCGAGUGCCACCUGAUGAAGGUGGCUUUUCCUAGGUCUUCAAAGCCUUGGGAAUAAGAGGGGGGCAAGACUGGUGUCAGCCGCCGCGGUAACACCAGCCCCUCGAGUGGUGGGGAUGAUUAUUUGGCCUAAAGCGUCCGUAGCCGGCCGAGCAAGUCUUCCGUUAAAUCCAGCGUCUCAAGCGUUGGACUGCGGGAGAUACUACACGGCUAGAGAGUGGGAGAGGUCAGCGGUAUUCUGGGGGUAGGGGCGAAAUCCUUUGAUCCCCGGAGGACCACCAGUGGCGAAGGCUGCUGACUAGAACACGUCUGACGGUCAGGGACGAAAGCUGGGGUAGCGAACCGGAUUAGAUACCCGGGUAGUCCCAGCCGUAAACGAUGCAUGCUAGGUGUU